Piliocolobus tephrosceles (Ugandan red Colobus) is the source of this 1605-nucleotide long non-coding RNA. Lineage: Eukaryota; Metazoa; Chordata; Mammalia; Primates; Cercopithecidae. The record is from Ensembl.
AACAUAGAUCAGGCAAAAAUGAUAAGAAGUAAAAAGUUUUGGGAUGCAGAAAAAAAUGCACCAAUUUUAAACAGAAAUGGGAAUUUCAUUAAUUAUGAUAAUCAUGAAGAAUCGUGUAAACGAGCUGAACAGUUUUGUGAAAUAAUGUCAAAGCAUAUAAAUGAAGACAUAAAAGUUGAGAUAAAAAAAGAGUGCAAUGAUAAAGAAAUUUUAAGAAUAAUUAGGUUAGACGCUGAAAGAACUUUUAGCACAGAAGAAAAUAGAUCUUUACUUAUAGAAGUGUUACAAUCUAUAUAUCCAGUGAUUAAUGAUUAUCACCAAGGUUUAUCAUUUGUUGCUUCCUUUUUGUUACUUUUUUUAAAACCAAAAGAAGUUAUAACAAUAGUUACAGGGCUACAUAAAUACUAUGUACCUGGAUAUUUCAAAGCAAUGCCCAAAGCAUAUGUACGAGACGCUAGAGUUUUUAUGAGUAUAAUACAUAUAUUUUACCCCAACUUAUACAAACAUAUAGAAAAAUUAAUAACACCUGAAGCCUUUGUUUCUAAGUGGUUUAUAGGAUUAAACGUUCAUGUAUUAACUUUUGAGUCUCUUAUGCUAUUUUUCGAACAUUUUUUAAAAGAAGGAACGAUUUUUUUAUUUAAAUAUAGCAUAUCAUUAUGUAAAAAUUUAGAAAAAGAAAUUAUGAAAACUAACGAUGUUUCUAGAAUACUAGCUUUAUUAAGGUUAGAUCAAAAGCUAUUUCCUAAUGAUUAUAAAAAGUCAAAAGAUGAUAAAGUUGGCCAAUUUUUUUUAAAUAUAAUAAACGACGCUUCUAAAGUGGAUAUGGAAAAGGUUAAUUUAAGUGAGCUGAGAGAAAAAGCCAUUAAACAGAUGGAAGUGGAAGAAGAACGAAGAAAGAAAAUUGAAAUGGAACGAUCAUUGUCUGAUGACGAAAUUGUGUUUUCCGACGAGGAGGAAGAAGAAGAAGAAGAAGAAGAAAAAAAAAAAGAAAAAGAAAAAGAAAAAGAGAAAGAAAAAGAAAAAGAUGAUAAAAAAUGUGAUGUUGGUGGUAGUGGUAGUGGUAGUGGUAGUGACAGUGAUAAAAAAAAAAAUGAUGAUACAUAUAUUGAUAAAGAUAAGGAAACAGAAAAAAGAGAAGAUGAUGUGAAAUCAUAUUAGAGAGACAGGAUAGAAAAAAGAGAAUGUGGCUGUUAAGUUAUAAAAAUGGACAAAUAGGAGAAGACAUAUAUGAACACUAGUUAUACAUAAAGAUACGUUAUUAUGAACUAAGAAAAAAAAAAAGCUGAAAAAACAGCUAGUAUAUUAAAUAUUUAAUAGGUUACAUAUAAAAGCCUUUAUAGCUAGGUGUUAUUUUGUUUACAUGUUAGGCUGGCUGUAUAUAUAUACGAUUCAUUUAUCUAUACAGCUACCUAUCCAUUUACUCAUUUUUAAAUGCUUAUGCACUUAUUUGUUUUUUUUUUUUUAUUUUAUUUUAUUUUUUUUAUUCAUACAUAAGAAAGAUAAAUAUAUAAAAAUAUGACCUAUUUCAAUUUACUAUAUAAAAAAUAUAUUUUAUAAUACUUUUUUUAUAAAAACAAAAAUAUUUUUAAAAUUUUGUUUAACUUU